GCGGGGUUAGUACAUCGGUAGUACAGGAGCUUCCCAAGCUUCGGAGGCGGGUUCGACUCCCGUACCCCGCUCCA
This 74-nucleotide transfer RNA is filed under the name Oscillospiraceae bacterium. RNAcentral's name for it is "tRNA-Gly". It matches the Rfam family "tRNA". Rfam says of the family: Transfer RNA (tRNA) molecules are approximately 80 nucleotides in length. Their secondary structure includes four short double-helical elements and three loops (D, anti-codon, and T loops). The record is from RNAcentral. Lineage: Bacteria; Bacillati; Bacillota; Clostridia; Eubacteriales; Oscillospiraceae.